This 940-nucleotide long non-coding RNA is filed under the name Carica papaya (papaya). RNAcentral's name for it is "long non-coding RNA (CPAP_LNC003935)". Lineage: Eukaryota; Viridiplantae; Streptophyta; Magnoliopsida; Brassicales; Caricaceae. The record is from RNAcentral.
CUACAACUCAUUAAUUCACAUGACCAAAUAAUUUUCUGUUUGCAUAUUAAUUUCUAAUUUCAUUAAUCAACCGUAAAUCACGCAAGACAAGCAAUAUAUAUAUAUAUCAAGGAAGCACACUUGAAUUAUUUAACCAUUCCAGUAUAUUAUCAUGUAUUUAAAGCUGUAGAUUCAACAAUCAGUUAAACAGGACAACAAAUAAAUGACUAACCAGUUCCGCUUCCAUUGGUAACCUGUAAUUAUUCUCAAAGUUUUUUAAAUUACACAAAUACCAUAUUAUCGAUUAUUAAGCUUCAAUUCUAUAACAGAGAAUAAGAUGAUGGAUUCUUAUCUGAAUCGAUAUCUGAAACACCAAGCUUUUUACUACGCCUACUGGCGGUCGCUAGAUUUUUUGAAUUUUCUACGGAGAUUAAAACAUGUUUCACAUACCUAUCGCUAACAUGGCCUCCUGUGUGGCACCGAGUUAGUGUGUCUUGCCACGUGGUGCAUUCCAGUUCGUUGAGGUUGCUGAUUAGGCAGUCCUACAUGGUGCAAUUUUUUUUAAUUACGUUAUGACCCCCAGUUUUUUAAUUUUCUUUCAAAAACACCCGCCCAACCAAAAUUUUCACUCAUUUUUUCCAAAAUUAUUUUUAAUUUCAUUCUCAACUUAUUUUUCUCAUAAUUCCACAUUAAAUAAAAUUUUAUUAAUUUAAAAUUUACAUUUUUAUAUGUUUUUAAAAUUUUAAAAUUAAUCUCGGGCCAAAUUCUGGGACUGGGUAUUAUAACUCUUCUCUCGUAAAAGAAAUUUAUUCCCUCAAAUUUGUCUCCCUCUCAUUCAAUCAAACAGUUGGUGAUACUAGACUCUGAAGUCUGAUUCUAGCUCUCAUAUGACCUCUCUCUAUGUGUGAUUCUGCCAUAGGACCUUAACGAAAUAAAUUUUUUUGUUGCAGAGUACUCUACU